Molecule: long non-coding RNA, 931 nt
Organism: Eufriesea mexicana
Lineage: Eukaryota; Metazoa; Arthropoda; Insecta; Hymenoptera; Apidae
Exons: 4
Source: RefSeq, a predicted model, not a curated record
CCUUUCUUGGACAUUCUACAGCUGUACCACCUGCUGUUAUUUCAAACAAAGGAGAGGAGUGAGCUGCGAGUGAGUGAUGAUCUUCUAGCCUUCGACUCGGUUCAGGUUAUAUAGAUGGUGGAUUUAACACUCGAAUUGUUUAUCAUCUUGAUCUUCCUGAAGUGAAAUACUGCGAAAUUGGAUGACUUUUGGAAUUGUUCAAUCCUCGGGCAAACAAGUUUCCUUCUUUGAAGGUAUAUUGCAAAUAGGAGUUUCAAUUUUAAGAAGAUCUUCGAAGAGAAAAUUUUCCUCUGUCAAGCAUCUUGGAAGUUCUAUCGAUCCUACACGUUAAUAGAGUUUCCCAUCCGUCUGAACGAGCCACGAAAUAAUCCAACGCGAACGUUCAAACGUGAAACACGGUUCUCCAUGUAGUUGGACUCCUUCUAGACCCGAGGCCCGUGCGAAACCGAAUUUUCCCCGAGAGUGCAACUUUAUUCAGUACCCGGAGACUGCAUCCAGGACUAGUCGGCGAACAAGGUAACACGUAUACGUACACAGGAAUGCACACGUAUACACGAAGAGACCAUAAUCAUCGGGAUUUAUGCGCAAGUGCCGUUUCUACGGUGAGUGCGAGACUCCGUGAAAGUUCCAUCGGCCCGUGAAAAAAUCGACAAAGAUAUUUCGAAUUCACUGGGCAAAUAGCUAUCGAGCACGAGGUAUAACGGCAUUAUCCUCUUAGCCGUGGGUUCAACGCGGUAUCGCGUUAUGCGUUAACUUUCAUUGAUGUGUGCAGGUGCGUGCAUAAAGAGAACCGCUCACUGAUUCCACGUAUCCCCUUCUUUCUCGCUCUGUCACUUCAACCCGUUCCAUCUUGUUCUGCGUUUCGUACCCGUCGCUUUCUCUUUCAUCCCCCUUUCGUACCCCUUUCAUCCCCCGCUUCGUUGCGGUCCAU